CAGUACCAAUGAAAUGAAAUGAUGUGUGAAAGAUUAUGAAAUGAGCCUUAAUUGAAUUGUUCUAAAUUGACUCUGAAAAUAGAAUUGCCUAAAAGCUUAUGUACUCAAGUCAUGUCCAAAGGUUGUUCUAACUAAUGCUAUGCUUGGUAGGUAUUUCCAAUAUUUUGAGUUCUUACAUAUUCAUAAGUUGAAAUUGUGUAUUGCCCUUUUGGGGAAAGGUAUUUCAAGAAUAAUAGGGUUUCACUCGAUUAAGAUUUUAACUUGUGCUUCGAUUGCCAAUCAUUCUGCUUAUUUUUUUGGAAAGAAAUCCACUGUGUUUAAAGACUUCAUUACUAAUGAAUUUAGAGUUAUGAUUUCUAGAAUAUUCUAUAUGUUGAUAUUUAUGAUGAUGAUCCUUGAAAGUAAAGAAAUGAAAGUGUGAAAUAUAAGAUACAACCAUCGUGCCAUGAAUAAAGAAUCAUAUGUAUGGCCAAUGGAGCCAAUGAAAUAAUGAUGUUCUGAGCGGCUGAAAGUACUAAUGAAGUGACAUAUGGUGUGAAAGGUUAUGAGAUGAACGUAUUUGUACUUCUGUUUUCAAUGCGUUAUAAGAUCAUAUUCCCUCAUGAGAAGAGGAUACAGUGUUCCUAAAUAUUAUAAAUGCUAUUAAUGUCUUAUGAUCACCCAUGGCAAGUACAAGCAAGUGAUAGUAUCAACAUGAAAUAUGGCUGCUUGCCAAAAUAAGAAUUAUGAGUCAUUGUAUAUUCCAAUAGUUUCAAUCAUAGUAUGUAAAAAGGCAGCUCAGUGCACUAAGCACCCGCUGUGUUCGGGGUUAGAAAAGGGUCGGACCACAAGGGUCUAUCGUAAGCAGCCUUACCCUACAUUUAUGCAAGAGGUUGUUUCUACGGCUCGAACUCGUGACCUCCUGGUCACUUGGCAACAACUUUAACUAGUUACACCAAGGCUCCCCUUCUCAAUCAUAGUAUGUAUGCAUCUAAAAUAAUAAAUGCAAAUGGCUUCGAUGUUAAGUCCUCAAGAAUCAUGAUCUUAGAUAAUUACCUUAAGAUGAUAAGAGGGUACAUUCGAGAGAUGUACUACACUAAAUGAUGAUGAAUCUUUGGAAAAAUAAUUUGGGCCAUGUGCCAAUGAAAUCGACUUAUUGAUUCACCAUAUUGUGUUUNNNNNNNNNNNNNNNUGUANAUUGCCCUUUUGGGGAAAGGUACUUCAAGAAUAUUCUCUAUGUUGAUAUUUAUAAUGAUGAGCCUUGAAAGUAAUGAAAUGAAAGUAUGGAAUAUGAGAUACGGCCAUCGUGCCAUGAAUGAAGAAUAAUAUGUAUGGAAAAAGGGAUCGAAUGAAAUAAUGAUGUUGUAAAUAGUUGAAAGUACUAAUGAAGUGAUAGUAUGAACAUGAAAUGUGGUCGUUUGCCUAAAUGAAAUUUAUGAGGUGUUGUAUGUCCUAAUGGUUUCAACUAUAGUUGUAUGCUUCUGAAAUAAUAUAUGUAAAUGACUUUGAUGUCAAGUCAUCAAGAAUCAUGAACUUAGCUAAUGAACUCAAGAUGUCAAGUGAGUGAAUAUUGAGAUGAAAGGAAGAUGUCCUAUGCUAAAUGAUGAUGAACCUUAAGAAAAUAAAUUGGGCUCAUGUGCCAUUGAAAUUGACUUAUUGAUUCACCAUGCAUGUGCUAACGUAAUG
This 1665-nucleotide long non-coding RNA is filed under the name Nicotiana tabacum (common tobacco). Its description in RNAcentral is "long non-coding RNA (NTAB_LNC011889)". Lineage: Eukaryota; Viridiplantae; Streptophyta; Magnoliopsida; Solanales; Solanaceae. The record is from RNAcentral.